Molecule: ribosomal RNA, 254 nt
Filed under: uncultured bacterium
Lineage: Bacteria
Description: partial 16S ribosomal RNA
Rfam family: Bacterial small subunit ribosomal RNA
Source: RNAcentral
UACGUAGGGUGCGAGCGUUGUCCGGAAUUACUGGGCGUAAAGAGCUCGUAGGUGGUUCGGUAAGUCGGAUGUGAAAUCUCCAGGCUCAACCUGGAGGGGUCAUUCGAUACUGCCGUGGCUAGAGGUCGGUAGGGGAGUGUGGAAUUCCUGGUGGAGCGGUGAAAUGCGCAGAUAUCAGGAGGAACACCCGUAGCGAAGGCGGCACUCUGGGCCGAUACUGACACUGAGGAGCGAAAGCGUGGGGAGCGAACAGG